GCGUCGGUACUCAAGUGGUCAACGAGGAUGGUCUGUAAAACCAUUGGCACCGCCUACGAAGGUUCGAAUCCUUCCCGACGCA
RNAcentral lists this transfer RNA (82 nucleotides) under Candidatus Jorgensenbacteria bacterium RIFCSPHIGHO2_02_FULL_45_20. RNAcentral's name for it is "tRNA-Tyr". It matches the Rfam family "tRNA". From Rfam's summary of the family: Transfer RNA (tRNA) molecules are approximately 80 nucleotides in length. Their secondary structure includes four short double-helical elements and three loops (D, anti-codon, and T loops). Further hydrogen bonds mediate the characteristic L-shaped molecular structure. tRNAs have two regions of fundamental functional importance: the anti-codon, which is responsible for specific mRNA codon recognition, and the 3' end, to which the tRNAs corresponding amino acid is attached (by aminoacyl-tRNA synthetases). tRNAs cope with the degeneracy of the genetic code in two manners: having more than one tRNA (with a specific anti-codon) for a particular amino acid; and 'wobble' base-pairing, i.e. permitting non-standard base-pairing at the 3rd anti-codon position. RNAcentral also lists the same sequence under 1 other name. The record is from RNAcentral. Lineage: Bacteria; Candidatus Joergenseniibacteriota.